This 1275-nucleotide long non-coding RNA is filed under the name Homo sapiens (human). Its description in RNAcentral is "PREDICTED lncRNA (TCONS_00174734)". Lineage: Eukaryota; Metazoa; Chordata; Mammalia; Primates; Hominidae. The record is from RNAcentral.
CCGGCGUACUGGGGCGGUUCAGUCGCCUCAGCCGCGGUGUGAGGGAGCGGGAGUCUUCCUUAGCUUCUCCGCCAUGGGUGUCGCUUCGUAGCCGGGCUGCUCCGGGAAAGGCCUCGUACAGCAAGCUCCGAAGCAGACGUUUACCAGUUUUGCACAACUUUGUCAUGGACCAACUGGCCUUGUGGCUCAGUGGCAUCUGGAGGCAAGAGGGCCAAGUAGACAGGGGUCUCAGCCCCCUCCUCCACAGUCCUGAUGCUGUCUUUCCCAUCCAUGUCUGUCUUCACUGGUCCUGGGCAGCACGCAUUCACCAGAAUCCUGUCAGCUUUCCUCUUCUCAUCCAGACGCCUGGCCAGGAUCCUCGAUAAGACCGUGACCCCCAACUUGGACACCCCAUAAGCUUUGUUCUCAGAAACUUGGCGGCUACAAGGAAUUAAAUGUGAAUGGGAAAGGAAGAAAGAAAAACACAGAUCAUAGAAGCUGUGCCUUCGAGGAAAUAAAUCCUCUUAAGGGGAGGAGGUGUCCUCUUUGAUCUGAGGGCACACCUCUGGGAGAGAGGCCAGAGGCUGACAGUCAGCCUCGUCAGCCAGAUGCGUCAUCAGCCCUGGGAAGGGCUGCACCCACACCACCCUCCACUGAGGUCCAGGUGGCCCCACCGGUCCCGAAACACCUGCUGCCUUACUCUAGAAAGAGUAGGCAAGUUGCGCCCUCUAGUGGCUUAGUAGUUGCUUGUCCUAUUGACUCAGAACCUUGAACAAAUAAGCAAGUCAAAUACAGAUAGAUGGUCCCUGCCCUCUGAUGGUUCCACUUAGGACUUACUGACUUCACUGAUGGAUGAGGAAGCGAUAUGCAUUCUGCAGAAUCUGUACUUGGAGGCCCCAUACAACCAUUCUGCAUUUCACUUUCAGUACAGAUUCAAUAAAUUACAUAAGAUACUCAACAUUUUAUGAUAAAAUAGGCUUUGUGUUAGAUGACUUUGCCAGACUAUAGGCUAAUGUAAGCGUUCAAAGCACCUUGAAGCUAGACGAGGCUGACCUAUGGUGUUUGGUAGGUCAGAUGCGUUAAAUGCAUUUUUUUUUUUUUUUGAGACAAGGACUUGCUCUGUCGCCCAGGCUAGAGUACAGUGGCACAAUCAUAGCUCACUGCAGCCUCAACCUCCUGGGCCCAAGCGAUCCUCCCACCUCAGUCUCUCGAGAAGCUGGAACAUGCCACUAUGCCCAGCUAAUUUUUAAUUUUCAUUUUUUGUGUAGAGCUGGGGUCUCCAUAUGUUGCUCAGGA